This 2024-nucleotide ribosomal RNA is filed under the name freshwater metagenome. RNAcentral's name for it is "bacterial LSU rRNA". It matches the Rfam family "Bacterial large subunit ribosomal RNA", at positions 1 to 2142 of the family's 2925-position model. The record is from RNAcentral.
CAGAAAGUUACAAGCAACAGUGUGGAUGCCUUGGCGACAUCUGGCGAAGAAGGACGCGACAAGCUGCGAUAAGCCCUGGGGAGCCGCAAAUAGGCCGAUCCAGGGAUUUCCGAAUGGGGAAACCCCGUCAGCAAUGACGAUCCCGCGCUGAAUACAUAGGCGCGAGGAAGCGAACCCGCUGAAGUGAAACAUCUCAGUAAGCGGAGGAAAAGAAAGAGAAUCGAUUCCCUCAGUAGUGGCGAACGAAAGGGGAACAGCCCAAACCAGGAGGACUUGUCCUCCUGGGGUCGUAGGGCCUCGAUGUGAGACUGAAGAGGUUAGGCGAAGCGUUUGAAUGACGCGUCAAAGAGGGUGAGAACCCCGUAGCCAAAAACCCGAUCAGCUCUAGAGGUACCCUGAGUAGCACCGGACACGUGAAACCCGGUGUGAAGUCACGCAGACCACUGCGUAAGGCUAAAUACACGAUGUCGACCGAUAGUGAAGAGUACCGCGAGGGAAAGGUGAAAAGCACCCCUGUUAGGGGAGUGAAAAGUACCUGAAACCUGUUGCUUACAAGCGGUCGGAGCCCCCUCGUGGGGUGACGGCGUACCUUUUGCAUAAUGGGUCUGGGAGUUAACGUAAGGAGCCAGCCUAAGGUCCCUCAGGACCGGAGGCGCAGCGAAAGCGAGUCUGAACAGGGCGUUUAGUUCCUUGCGUUAUACCCGAAGCGGAGGUGAUCUACCCAUGACCAGGUUGAAGCCCAAGUAACAUUGGGUGGAGGACCGAACUGAUGGCACUUGAGAAUGCCCCGGAUGAGUUGUGGGUAGGAGUGAAAGGCUAAUCAAACCCCGUAAUAGCUGGUUCUCUCCGAAAUAUAUUUAGGUAUAGCGUCCAGCGCUGACCCGUGGGGGUAGAGCACUGAAAAGGCUAGGGGACACACCCGUCUACCAACCCUUAUCAAACUCCGAAUACCACGGGGCGAAGCUGGGCAGUCAGGCAGUGGGGGAUAAGCUUCAUUGCCGAGAGGAAAACAGUCCAGACCACCAAUUAAGGCCCCAAAGACGUAGCUAAGUGGAUUAAAGAAUGUGAACUUGCACAGACAAUAGGGAUGUUGGCUUAGAGGCAGCCACCAUUUAAACAGUGCGUAACAGCUGACCUAUCGAGUGAGUUUGCGUCUAAGAUGAUCGGGACUAAGCGACGCGCCGAAGUUGUGGGCUGCAGCAAUGCAGCGGUAGGAGAGCGUUCCAGCAGCGGCGAAGCGGAAGCGGCAAGCGACCGUGGAGCGGCUGGAAGUGAGUAUCCAGACAUAAGUAACGAUAAGAAUGGUUGAAAUCCAUUCCGCCGUAAGGAUAAGGUUUCCAGGACAAGGGUCGUCCUUCCUGGGUUAGUCGGGAGCUAAGCUGAGGCCGUAAGGAGUAAGCGAUGCACAUCAGGUUAAUAUUCCUGAACCAAGUAGAGAGGACGGGAUCAUGGAGUCAGCAGACCUAAUUGACUUGGCAGUCCAAAGCUACGGCUGAGGACGCGCUGGCGAAAUGAUCUCCAGGAAAAGCCUCUACAUUAAGCCCGUACCGCAAACCGACACAGGUAUCCGAGAUGAGCAUUCUAAGGCGCGUGAGUUAAACCUCCUCAAGGAACUCGACAAAUUAACCCCGUAUCUUCGGUAUAAGGGGUGCUCCGGGCAACCGGAGUCGCAGUGAAGAGGCCCUACCGACUGUUUAGCAAAAACACAGCUCUCUGCUAAGUCGCAAGACGACGUAUAGGGAGUGACGUGUGACCAAUGCGGAAAGGUGAAAGCUGGAGCUGCAAGGUUCCGGUCUAAGCCCCCGUGAAUGUCGGCCGUAACUAUAACGGUCCUAAGGUAGCGAAAUUCCUUGUCGGGUAAGUUCCGACCUGCACGAAUCACGUAACGAGUAGGGCAUUGUCUCGAGGAGGGGCUCAGUGAAAUUGUAGCCGCGGUGAAGAUGCCGCGUUCCCGCAGCAGGACGGAAAGACCCUAUAGACCUUUACUGUAACCUGGGAACUGCCGCUUAUCGUGACUGGGAAAC